CCUACGGGCGGCAGCAGUGGGGAAUAUUGCGCAAUGGGCGAAAGCCUGACGCAGCGACGCCGCGUGAGGGAUGAAGGUCUUCGGAUCGUAAAACUCUGUCAGCAGGGAAGAACGGUCACUGUGCUAAUCAGCAGUGAAUUGACGGUACCUGCAAAGGAAGCACCGGCUAACUCCGUGCCAGCAGCCGCGGUAAUACGGAGGGUGCGAGCGUUAAUCGGAAUUACUGGGCGUAAAGCCCUCGUAGGCGGUAUGUCAAGUCAAGGGUGAAUUCCCCGCGCUCAACGUGGGAACUGCCUUUGAAACUGGCAAACUGGAGUGUGUGAGAGGAUAGUGGAAUUCCAGGUGUAGGAGUGAAAUCCGUAGAUAUCUGGAGGAACAUCAGUGGCGAAGGCGACUAUCUGGCACAUAACUGACGCUGAGGAGCGAAAGCGUGGGUAGCAAACAGGAUUAGAUACCCGGGUAGUC
RNAcentral lists this ribosomal RNA (465 nucleotides) under uncultured bacterium. RNAcentral describes it as "partial 16S ribosomal RNA". It matches the Rfam family "Bacterial small subunit ribosomal RNA", at positions 338 to 795 of the family's 1533-position model. The record is from RNAcentral.